This is a long non-coding RNA of Mesocricetus auratus (golden hamster), 958 nucleotides long. RefSeq lists it as uncharacterized. The record is from RefSeq and is a predicted model, not a curated record. The transcript is spliced from 4 exons. Lineage: Eukaryota; Metazoa; Chordata; Mammalia; Rodentia; Cricetidae.
GGUUUUUCUGUUUUAUAAAUAUCUUUAAAAUACCCUCAGAACCCUCACAGCAUCCACACUAAGUUUCAUUUCUCUUCUUCUGGCUCCUACUCACAUCUUCAGUUCUCUUUUCUCAUUUUAAGAAGAAAAGGAUACGAUGACAAAUUGUCAUUAAAGAAAAACUCAGCGGUAGAAAAUUUCUUAAGGAAUUAUGCAUUCAUAUUUCUAAAGUUAAGCUGUCUUGAAGCUUGAAGGAUGGAAAUGCUACAUGGAAAGUUAGGAAGAACAGUCCUAUUGAUGGUAAGAACAAAACAAGACGCGAACUGUGGAACCUUGAUCUUACCUAAAGAAGAGACGCAUUUUUUCCACUAAAAUGAGAUGCCUUAGAUGUUCUCUCUCUUUUCUGGAACUGAAUACCAUUCUUUAAGGUAUUCAUGGGAAGACUGUUCCCUGGAUAUUUUCGACACUGACUGACCUGCUUAUGGUACUGCUAAUAGUGCCUUCUCUCUCCCAUGAUGGAACAAACUUACAGAGUUCUCUUGAGAAGAGAAUGUCAACUCUCUGAAGCACCAAGCUACAAGAUCGAGAAGAAUCUACUUUAGAGCUGGAGAAUGCAUAACAACUCGGGCGUCUACAGCCUCAUCAUAACUGUGUGCUUUUAGGAUGAGAAGGCAUAGAAUAGCACUUAAUCAUUUUCUUUAACGUCCUAUUGACUUUCAUUUGGGAAAAGAAAUGUGACGAAGAGUAUUUUCAUUUGUUUUGCUCAGUUUCGCUCUCUCUACAAAAGAUAGUACGAAACUGCCCAGGGUCUUCCCUUAUCCUUCUAAACGUAAUCUGACUCCGGAAAAAUGCAGGCGCUUCGUUCAUAGUACUUGACUGCCCCCUAUCGGACAUUGUGAUGUUUUUAUGCUUAUGUUAUGAAGCAAGCUUUAAAAACGUAAUUCGAGUUUUGACAAAAUAAAGUGAAGUGGAAAAUGCA